AGAAGGUGAAAAAUGUGUCGUUGGAAAACAAAAUAGGAAAAAAAUCAAACAGUAAAAAAGGAAGAAUAAAAAUUCCAAAUAGAUUAAAAUGGUAUAAGAAACGUCCGGCAUAAAGAAGGAAAUAAACAUAUUUCAAUACCAAGGCAAAGAUGAAAGCAUGAUGGGUGCAUCAUAAAUUCACAACUUAUUGGGAUGUUGGAGAAUGAACCUAAUGAGUAUAACCCAGUAAAGAAAAAC
Molecule: long non-coding RNA, 237 nt
Filed under: Lathyrus oleraceus (garden pea)
Lineage: Eukaryota; Viridiplantae; Streptophyta; Magnoliopsida; Fabales; Fabaceae
Description: Pisum sativum (pea) long non-coding RNA (PSAT_LNC009518)
Source: RNAcentral